RNAcentral lists this ribosomal RNA (344 nucleotides) under Vespa mandarinia (Asian giant hornet). RNAcentral describes it as "partial 12S ribosomal RNA". The record is from RNAcentral. Lineage: Eukaryota; Metazoa; Arthropoda; Insecta; Hymenoptera; Vespidae.
AAUAAAUGUAAUUAUAAUUUAAAAGAGAUUAAAUGAUAGGUCAUUAAAUUUAAAAGAUUUGGCAGUAUUUAAUAUUUAGAGGAACCUGUAUAUUAAUUGAUAAUCCACGAUAAGAUAUACUUGAUUUUAAGUUUAUGUAUUGCUGUUUUUAAUAUUUAAUUAAGUUAGAUAAAUAUAAUUUAUAAGAUUUAUUAAAAUAAUUCAAGUCAAAAUAUAGCUUAGUUAAGAUUAAUAUGGGUUACAAUUAAUUUAAUUAUUGGAUUAAAAAAUUUAAAUUUUUUAUGAAAAUGGAUUUAAAAGUAAAUUUAAUUAAUUUAUUAAAUUGAAUAAUAAAUUAAAUAUGU